AUCAGGUUAUACAUUCUUCUAUAAAUAUCUACCGUUUUUUGUAAAUGUCAAUGAAGUUUUCGACGUUUAUACCCAACUUCAGUACACAUUUAAGUGGGUGGGGUAAAAUAACAAAUAUAAUGGUAAAGACUUUCAUAGUAGUUCUCAAAGACUUCAAAUACAUAUUGGUUGUUAUAAAAGAUGUCCAUUCUGGAUGUUUGAUUCCGCCAAGUUGAUGCUCAACAGGAGUAGGCAGUUGAUACCAUUGAUCUGAUAGCACCUGCUAUAUCAGUGGUUUUACAAGAUAUUUUUGUGCAAAACACAAGAGACGGAAUUGGUUCAAGAACAGAGAUAAAAUAAAUGAAGUGUGUCAAUAUGAAUGAAAACUUUCCUUGACUGCAAGGACUAAAGAAAAUGCACACAAGUGACAUCAAUUUAAAUGUUUGGUACAAAAAGUAGACAUUUAGAACUUAAAAUUAUGACACAGGAUGUGAAACAACACUUUAUAGCUGAUAACAGUCGAACAAGAGAUUUUUCAAAAAGAAGCAAGAUGUGUUUUUUUAACCCUUGGCAAAUGAACCUUUAAAGGGAUUAUUGCAUACCAAGGACAAUUUAUUGUUAUUGAAUUAUAUCAUGUUUAAUGUUAUUAUUAAAUUGUAAAAAAUACCGUUGUUAUUAAUA
This is a long non-coding RNA of Mya arenaria, 660 nucleotides long. RefSeq lists it as uncharacterized. The transcript has 2 exons. NCBI's taxonomy places the organism in Eukaryota, Metazoa, Mollusca, Bivalvia, Myida, Myidae. The record is from RefSeq and is a predicted model, not a curated record.